UCGGAUUCAAUUCCAGUCAAGGACACAUACCUUGGUUGCAAGCUCAAUCCCCAGGCCUGGUUGGGGUGCCUGUAGGAGGCAAGCAGUCCAUGUGUCUCUCUCACAUUGAUGUUUCUCUCUCUCACUUAUAUUUCUCUCUCUC
Myotis davidii is the source of this 142-nucleotide long non-coding RNA. RefSeq lists it as uncharacterized. The record is from RefSeq and is a predicted model, not a curated record. Lineage: Eukaryota; Metazoa; Chordata; Mammalia; Chiroptera; Vespertilionidae. The transcript has 3 exons.